RNAcentral lists this ribosomal RNA (190 nucleotides) under uncultured Methylomonas sp. Its description in RNAcentral is "partial 16S ribosomal RNA". It matches the Rfam family "Bacterial small subunit ribosomal RNA", at positions 335 to 524 of the family's 1533-position model. Lineage: Bacteria; Pseudomonadati; Pseudomonadota; Gammaproteobacteria; Methylococcales; Methylococcaceae. The record is from RNAcentral.
ACUCCUACGGGAGGCAGCAGUGAGGAAUAUUGCGCAAUGGCCGAAAGGCUGACGCAGCGACGCCGCGUGAGGGAUGAAGUCCGUUAGGAUGUAAACCUCUUUUGCAGGGGAUGAACGUCUCGCUAUACGCGGGAUUGACCGUACCCUGCGAGUAAGGAUCGGCUAACUACGUGCCAGCAGCCGCGGUAAU